RNAcentral lists this ribosomal RNA (483 nucleotides) under uncultured bacterium. Its description in RNAcentral is "partial 16S ribosomal RNA". It matches the Rfam family "Bacterial small subunit ribosomal RNA", at positions 29 to 506 of the family's 1533-position model. The record is from RNAcentral.
AAUGAACGCUGGCGGCAUGCUUUACACAUGCAAGUCGAACGGCAGCGCGGGCUUCGGCCUGGCGGCGAGUGGCGAACGGGUGAGUAAUGCAUCGGAACGUGCCCAGUAGUGGUGGAUAGCCCGGCGAAAGCCGGAUUAAUACCGCAUACGACCUGAGGUUGAAAGCGGGGGACCGAAAGGCCUCGCGCCAUUGGGGCGGCCGAUUUCGGGUUAGCUAGUUGGUGGGGUAAAGGCUGACCAAGGCGACGAUCCGUAGCUGGUCUGAGAGGACGACUAGCCACAGGGAGGCUGAGACACGGAACAGAGACGGACGGAAGGCACGGGGGGGGAUGUUUGGAGAAUGGGGGCAACAGUGCGCCAGCCGUGCGGCGUGGGGGAAGAAGGCCUUCGGGUGGUAAACCGCUUUUGUUCGGGAGAAACGCCUCUGGGUUAAUACCACGGGGGGAUGAGGGUACCGGAAGAAAAAGCCCCGGCUAACAACGU